This 814-nucleotide ribosomal RNA is filed under the name uncultured bacterium. RNAcentral's name for it is "bacterial SSU rRNA". It matches the Rfam family "Bacterial small subunit ribosomal RNA", at positions 49 to 863 of the family's 1533-position model. The record is from RNAcentral.
UAACACAUGCAAGUCGAGCGGUAGAUACUGGAAUGAUAUUUCGAUUGAGUGAAAGUAUUGAGAGCGGCGGACGGGUGAGUAACGCGUAGGCAACCUGCCCCAUACAGAGGGAUAGCCUCGGGAAACCGGGAUUAAAACCUCAUAACGCUGGGAGUUCACAUGGACAUCCAGCCAAAGAUUUAUCGGUAUGGGAUGGGCCUGCGUCUGAUUAGCUAGUUGGUGGGGUAACGGCCUACCAAGGCAACGAUCAGUAGCCGACCUGAGAGGGUAAUCGGCCACAUUGGAACUGAGACACGGUCCAAACUCCUACGGGAGGCAGCAGUGGGGAAUAUUGCACAAUGGGCGAAAGCCUGAUGCAGCAACGCCGCGUGAGCGAUGAAGGCCUUUGGGUCGUAAAGCUCUGUCCUUGGGGAAGAAAAAAAUGACGGUACCCUUGGAGGAAGCCCCGGCUAACUACGUGCCAGCAGCCGCGGUAAUACGUAGGGGGCAAGCGUUAUCCGGAAUUAUUGGGCGUAAAGAGUGCGUAGGUGGUUUUGUAAGCGCAGGGUGAAAGGCAAUAGCUCAACUAUUGUAAGCCUUGCGAACUGCAAGACUUGAGUGCAGGAGAGGAAAGUGGAAUUCCUAGUGUAGCGGUGAAAUGCGUAGAUAUUAGGAGGAACACCAGUGGCGAAGGCGACUUUCUGGACUGUAACUGACACUGAGGCACGAAAGCGUGGGGAGCAAACAGGAUUAGAUACCCUGGUAGUCCACGCCGUAAACGAUGAGCACUAGGUGUCGGGGCCGCAAGGUUUCGGUGCCGCAGUUAACGCAUUAA